This 499-nucleotide ribosomal RNA is filed under the name uncultured Glomeromycotina. RNAcentral's name for it is "partial small subunit ribosomal RNA". It matches the Rfam family "Eukaryotic small subunit ribosomal RNA", at positions 591 to 1092 of the family's 1831-position model. The record is from RNAcentral. Lineage: Eukaryota; Fungi; Glomeromycota.
CCAAUAGCGUAUAUUAAAGUUGUUGCAGUUAAAAAGCUCGUAGUUGAAUUUCGGGAUCAAUUUAUUGGUCGUGCUAUUGUACGUACUGGUAUUAUUGAUUCCUACCUUCUGACGAACCAUGAUGUCAUUAAUUUGGUGUCAUGGGGAAUCAGGACUGCUACUUUGAAAAAAUUAGAGUGUUUAAAGCAGGCUCACGCUUGAAUACAUUAGCAUGGAAUAACGAAAUAGGACGUUUGAUUCUAUUUUGUUGGUUUCUAGGAUCGACGUAAUGAUUAAUAGGGAUAGUUGGGGGCAUUAGUAUUCAAUUGUCAGAGGUGAAAUUCUUGGAUUUAUUGAAGACUAACUACUGCGAAAGCAUUUGCCAAGGAUGUUUUCAUUAAUCAAGAACGAAAGUUAGGGGAUCGAAGACGAUCAGAUACCGUCGUAGUCUUAACCAUAAACUAUGCCGACUAGGGAUCGGAUGAUGUUAAUUUUUUAAUGACUCAUUCGGCGCCUUACG